AGUCCGAGCGAAGCGGCUGGCGGAGCAGAACGGAUCGCAGGGUCAGCCAUGUCAUCUGAGCCUCCCCCACCACCACAGCCCCCCACCCAGCAAGCUUCAGUCGGGCUGCUGGACACCCCUCGGACCCGCGAGCGCUCACCAUCCCCUCUGCGGGGCAACGUGGUCCCAAGCCCACUGCCCACUCGCCGGACGAGGACCUUCUCAGCGUGAGUCUGGAGCGGGCUAGGGAUGCAUUCUCAGAUGGAUCUCUUGCCUGAGGCCAGAGAUUCACUGUGUAUCUGGCCAUUUUUGGGCCUAUGUCCCAGACUGUCAAAUAGGCAGACCUGGGGCUGGGCCUUGGGCUGAGGGUGAAGAAACUGGGAAGGUGCCUUGUAAAUUCAGGGUACUGCCCAGCCCAAAGAACCUGUUACCAGCUGGGAGUGGCAAUGGGUGGGCAAUUGCUGGGGUCAGAAUCGCUGGGCUUCAACCACACACGAGAGUCUGUUUCCCUGUAACUGUGAAUGCUGCAGCUGCAAAAUGGGCACAGUACCAGGGCUGCAGAGGACCCACACGAUGCCUGGCAAAUGCAGGUCUUAGGCCCUGUGAGUGGAGGAUGCUCGUGUUAUUAAUAAUUAAUCAUUAGUUUCUGGAGGGAUGCUCAGUGAUGUUUUUGAUGUUUUAGUUCAACUCCCUCUUUCCAGGUGGGAAAACAGGCCCAAGAAAAUUUGCCAGGGUCAUCCAAAGAGUCCUUUUCACCAGCGUCUGUGUGAGCGGCUCUCAGGGUUGUGCAGUCCUCAGCCUGUGUGACUGUACAUGGCGGUCCUGGCCGGGGCUUGAUGGGGCACAGCUAUGGGCAGGGGCUGGAAUGAGCUUCAUGUGCCCAGGAGUGCUGGUGGCUGUCCUGGAGCGCUGAUGGGGCCCCUCACAUUGCCCCCUCUCUGUCAGGACCGUGCGGGCUUCACAGGGCCCCGUCUACAAAGGAGUCUGCAAAUGCUUCUGCCGGUCCAAGGGCCACGGCUUCAUUACCCCAGCUGAUGGCGGCCCCGACAUCUUCCUGCACAUUUCUGAGUGAGUCAGCGGCUGGGGUGGGCGCUUCCUUGGCCCUGUGGAGGUGGGGAUGGUGUGUGACUGUGAUGGGUGCUGGCUGUGAGGACGAAUGGCCGGGCCUGUGUGACUCUGCCUUUGGCUGGUGCUCCAACUGUGCUCCUGUGUGUGUGUUGGGUUGGGGCUGUGAGACUAUACGGAGCUGUGUUGGGUGACACGGUACCUGUGAUUGUGCCUGGGUGUGUCUUUGUGAAUGGGUGUGUAAGGUUUUGUGAGUGCUGGGCGCGGUGGACCACGCCUGUAAUCCCAGCACUUUGGGAGGCCGAGGCCGGCGGAUCACGAGGUCAGGAGAUCAAGACCAUCCUGGGUAACACGGUGAAACCCUGUGUCUACUUAAAAAAAUACAAAAAAAAAUUAGCUGAGCGCAGUGGCGGGCGCCUGUAGUCCCAGCUACUCGGGAGGCUGAGGCAGGAGAAUGGCGUGAACCUGAGAGGCGGAGGUUGCAGUAAGCUGAGAUCGUGCCACUGCACUCCAGCCUGGGAGACAAGAGCAAGACUCCAUCUCAAGAAAAAAAAAAAAGUUAGCACGGUGUGGUGACAGGUGCAUGUAAUCCUAGCUACUUGGGAGGCUGAGGCAGGAGAAUCGCUUGAACCCGGGAGGUAGAGGUUGCACUGAGCCGAGAUCUCGCCAUUGCAUUCCAGCCUGGGUGACAAGGGUAAAACUCCAUCUCAAAAAAAAAAAAAAAAAAAAAAAGGUUGGGCAUGGUGGCUCACACCUGUAAUGCCAGCACUUUGGGAGGCGGGCAGAUCACCUGAGGUCAGGAGUUCAAGACCAGCCUGGCCAACAUGGUGAAAUCCUGUCAUUACAAAAAUACAAA
RNAcentral lists this small RNA (1900 nucleotides) under Pongo abelii (Sumatran orangutan). RNAcentral describes it as "retained intron". The record is from RNAcentral. Lineage: Eukaryota; Metazoa; Chordata; Mammalia; Primates; Hominidae.